Molecule: ribosomal RNA, 253 nt
Filed under: uncultured bacterium
Lineage: Bacteria
Description: partial 16S ribosomal RNA
Rfam family: Bacterial small subunit ribosomal RNA
Source: RNAcentral
UACGUAGGUGGCAAGCGUUGUCCGGAUUUACUGGGUGUAAAGGGCGUGCAGCCGGAGAGACAAGUCAGAUGUGAAAUCCACGGGCUCAACCCGUGAACUGCAUUUGAAACUGUUUCCCUUGAGUGUCGGAGAGGUAAUCGGAACUCCUUGUGUAGCGGUGAAAUGCGUAGAUAUAAGGAAGAACACCAGUGGCGAAGGCGGAUUACUGGACGAUAACUGACGGUGAGGCGCGAAAGCGUGGGGAGCAAACAGG